GACGAACGCUGGCGGCGUGCUUAACACAUGCAAGUCGAACGGAAAGGCCCUGCUUUUGUUGGGUGCUCGUUUGGCGAACGCGGGAGUAACACGUGAGUAACCUGCCCCUGACUUUCGGAUAACUUCAGGGAACUCGGGCUAAUACCGGAUAGGAUCUCCUGCUGCGUGUGGGGGGUUGGAAAGAUUCGGCGGUUGGGGCUGGACUCGCGGGUUAUGAGCUUGUUGGUGGGGUAGUGGCUUACCAAGGCUUUGACGGGUAGCCGGCCUUGGAGCGUGACCGGCGACAUUGGGACUACGAUACGGCGCAGAAUCGUACGGGCGGCAGCAGUGGGGAAUAUUGCACAACGGGCGGACGCCUGAGGCAGCAACGCCGCGUGCGGGAAAACGGCCUUCGGGUUGAAAACAGCUUUCGCAUGUGACGAAGCGGGCGUGACGGUAAUGGGUAAAGAAGCACCGGCUAACUACGUG
This 468-nucleotide ribosomal RNA is filed under the name uncultured bacterium. RNAcentral's name for it is "partial 16S ribosomal RNA". It matches the Rfam family "Bacterial small subunit ribosomal RNA", at positions 28 to 507 of the family's 1533-position model. The record is from RNAcentral.